Molecule: ribosomal RNA, 1391 nt
Filed under: uncultured Bordetella sp.
Lineage: Bacteria; Pseudomonadati; Pseudomonadota; Betaproteobacteria; Burkholderiales; Alcaligenaceae
Description: partial 16S-23S ribosomal RNA intergenic spacer
Rfam family: Bacterial small subunit ribosomal RNA
Source: RNAcentral
AGUCGAACGGCAGCACUGGACUUCGGUCUGGUGGCGAGUGGCGAACGGGUGAGUAAUGUCGUAUCGGAACGUGCCUAGUAGCGGGGGAUAACUACGCGAAAGCGUAGCUAAUACCGCAUACGCCCUUCGGGGGAAAGCGGGGGACCUUCGGGCCUGCACUAUUAGAGCGGCCGAUAUCGGAUUGGCUAGUUGGUGGGGUAAACGGUCACCAAGGCGACGAUCCGUAGCUGGUUUGAGAGGACCACCAGCCACACUGGGACUGAGACACGGCCCAGACUCCGCGUAUGGCAAAGGGGAAUUUUGGACAAUGGGGGAAACCCUGAUCCAGCCAUCCGCGUGCGAUGAAGGCCUUCGGGUUGUAAAGCACUUUUGGCAGGAAAAGAAACGGCACGGAUAAUACCCCGUGCAACUGACGGUACCUGCAGAAUAAGCACCGGCUAACUACGUGCCAGCAGCCGCGGUAAUACGUAGGGUGCAAGCGUUAAUCGGAAUUACUGGGCGAAAGGCAGUAUAAGUGUCUGGAAAGAAAGAUGAAAUCCCAGAGCUUAACUUUGGAACUGCAUUUUUAACUACCGAGCUAGAGUGUGUCAGAGGGAGGUGGAAUUCCGCGUGUAGCAGUGGAAUGCGUAGAUAUGCGGAGGAACACCGAUGGCGAAGGCAGCUUCUGGGAUAACACUGACGCUCAUGCACAAAGCGUGGGGAGCAAACAGGAUUAGAUACCCUGGUAGUCCACGCCCUAAACGAUGUCAACUAGCUUGUUGGGGCCUUCGGGCCUUGGUAGCGCAGCUAACGCGUGAAGUUGACCGCCUGGGGAGUACGGUCGUAAGAUUUAAAACUUCAGCAAUUUGAUUGGGACCUGCACAAGCGGUGGAUGAUGUGAUUAAUUCGAUGCAACGCGAAAACCUUACCUACCCUUGAUACGUCUGGGAACCCAAGAGAUUAGGUGCUGCAAAGAGUCAACGCUGCAUGACGACGUUGGCCGUACCAGAGCUGAAUAAGUUCCGCACUCGAUGCCUCUGCUCGCUAGUUACACGAAAGGCACUCACGAGACUGCCGUGACAAACCGAGUAGGUGUAAUGCUGUCCCUUGGGCCUCUUAUGGGUAGGGCUUCACACGUCAUACAAUGGUCGGGACAGAGGGUCGCCAACCCGCGAGGGGAGCCAAUCCCAGAAACCCGGAUCGUAGUCCGAUCGCAGUCUGCAACUGACUGCGUGAAGUCGGAAUCGCUAGUAAUCGCGGAUCAGCAUGUCGCGGUGAAUACGUUCCCGGGUCUUGUACACACCGCCCGUCACACCAUGGGAGUGGGUUUUACCAGAAGUAGUUAGCCUAACCGUAAGGAGGGCGAUUACCACGGUAGGAUUCAUGACUGGGGUGAAGUCGUAACAAGGUAG